Molecule: long non-coding RNA, 542 nt
Organism: Panthera uncia (snow leopard)
Lineage: Eukaryota; Metazoa; Chordata; Mammalia; Carnivora; Felidae
Exons: 4
Source: RefSeq, a predicted model, not a curated record
CCGUGCAAUAAGGAGCCACAACUAGACGGACAGAGUACUAUCCAUUAUUUGGAUAGCAUAGGCUUACACUGAAUGCAAAGAUUGGAUUGAGUUCUUUCCUGGGGAGAGAUUCCCUUGCAGUUCUUUAGAACUACGCAACUGAGGCCAAGGAAUAAGAAGUGAAAUGUUAUCCCAAGAUUUAGGUGGUUAAGAAAGAAUGUGCCUUCUCCCUCAUCUCUUUGCUCAUCCAUACCACUGAAUGCAGAGAAAAAUGAGGCCUUAGGAGAUGUUGGAUUACAGGAGGUUAGAAAGCUGAUAUGCAAAAUCUCUAAAUUGCACUGGCAACCCUCCAAGGAAAUCUACUACAGACAACCAAAAGCUGGAUGAGAAGAAACAGAAAGAAAUUUUUCAAAUAGACUCAGCGUUGCAUGGAUUCUCAUGAAACACAGGACGUAACUUGGUUAUAAAACCAAAUUGUUGUUGGUCUGUGGAACGAUGUGUGCUUACCUGGGAGGUAUUGCAGCAAAGUUACAUACUGUGUCUUCAAUAUUUAUAACAUCUAA